GCCCCUAUAGCUCAGUUGGAAGAGCACCUGACUCUUAAUCAGGGUGUCCCAGGUUCGAGACCUGGUGGGGGUA
RNAcentral lists this transfer RNA (73 nucleotides) under candidate division NPL-UPA2 bacterium Unc8. Its description in RNAcentral is "tRNA-Lys". It matches the Rfam family "tRNA". Rfam says of the family: Transfer RNA (tRNA) molecules are approximately 80 nucleotides in length. Their secondary structure includes four short double-helical elements and three loops (D, anti-codon, and T loops). The record is from RNAcentral.